GCUGGAGUAGCUCAGUGGUAGAGUGCUCGCCUUGCAUGUGUGAGGCACUGGGUUUGAUCCUCAGCACCACA
RNAcentral lists this transfer RNA (71 nucleotides) under Marmota monax (woodchuck). It matches the Rfam family "tRNA". From Rfam's summary of the family: Transfer RNA (tRNA) molecules are approximately 80 nucleotides in length. Their secondary structure includes four short double-helical elements and three loops (D, anti-codon, and T loops). Further hydrogen bonds mediate the characteristic L-shaped molecular structure. tRNAs have two regions of fundamental functional importance: the anti-codon, which is responsible for specific mRNA codon recognition, and the 3' end, to which the tRNAs corresponding amino acid is attached (by aminoacyl-tRNA synthetases). tRNAs cope with the degeneracy of the genetic code in two manners: having more than one tRNA (with a specific anti-codon) for a particular amino acid; and 'wobble' base-pairing, i.e. permitting non-standard base-pairing at the 3rd anti-codon position. The record is from Rfam by way of RNAcentral. Lineage: Eukaryota; Metazoa; Chordata; Mammalia; Rodentia; Sciuridae.